Molecule: ribosomal RNA, 429 nt
Filed under: uncultured bacterium
Lineage: Bacteria
Description: bacterial SSU rRNA
Rfam family: Bacterial small subunit ribosomal RNA
Source: RNAcentral
AACGAACGCUGGCGGCGUGUUUAAGACAUGCAAGUCGCACGGGGCGGAUCAGGUAGCAAUAUUUGAUUCGUUCAGUGGCGCACGGGUGAGUAACACGUGAAUCACAUGCCCUUCAGUGGGGGAUAGCCCAGGGAAACUUGGAUUAAUACCCCAUGGUCUCGCAAGAGUAAAGGCGGCCUUUAAGGCAGUCGCUGGAGGAUUGGUUCGCGCCCUAUCAGCUUGUUGGGGGGGUAACGGCCCACCAAGGCUACGACGGGUACCUGGUCUGAGAGGACGAUCAGGCACACUGGAACUGAGACACGGUCCAGACACCUACGGGUGGCAGCAGUCGAGAAUAAUUCACAAUGGGGGAAACCCUGAUGGUGCAACGCCGCGUGGAGGAUGACGGUCUUCGGAUUGUAAACUCCUGUCAUCCGGGAGUAAGACCUG